This 8371-nucleotide long non-coding RNA is filed under the name Ananas comosus (pineapple). RNAcentral describes it as "long non-coding RNA (ACOM_LNC025570)". Lineage: Eukaryota; Viridiplantae; Streptophyta; Magnoliopsida; Poales; Bromeliaceae. The record is from RNAcentral.
UUCUAAAAUACGCCCAUCUGGUCCACUCACUAAAGCGUCCCUGCAAUUUAGUACCACUACAACAGAAUUAGGUUAUAGGGACAUAUGUUCGGAACACUUUUGUGUAAAUGUCCUAUUUAUACCAAAAUUUUAAAAAAAAAUCUACUAAUGUCAAAAUAUAAAGCCCAAUCCAAUCAAAAAUAAAAUGUUACUCUACUCAACCCACCCCAUCCAGCCCAUUCGGCUCGAUUACAAGCAGAAAAGAAAAAAAAAGAAAAAUAGAUUACCAUCUCCCAUUCUCUGCUCCCUCAAUCCACUGAAAUCCUAGACGAAGAUCCCUUCCUCUCGUCCUCCUCCACCACCACAGCCCCUCCGCCACCGUAGCCAACGAGGUAGAGUUCCAGCGGUUGCUAAAUGCUUAAAUAAGUAUUGGUAAAUUAGCAGCACUCUUUUAGGUUAUAGCGACACUCUUUAACUGUCACUAUAUUCCUAGCGACCCCACAUAUAGCAACACUUUUUAAAAAUGUCGGUAAUUUAGCCAACAACACUUUUUUUUACCUAUACCUAUAUUUAAAAGUGUCGCUUAGACCGUUUUUGUUGUAGUGUACAUACCGGUGCUUCAAAAAGUGUUAUUAAUUAUAUGAGCCACUUAUCAUAUCAAACUAAUUUAUUAAAUGAUAAAUUUCACUAUUAUUUUUAUUUUUUAGACGCGUAGAAGUGCCAUAAUUUUAAAAAAUCCUACACUCAAAAGCCCCGGAAUAUAUUUUUCCGACACUUGACAUCAGCGUCGGUAUAUAUAUGUAAUGACUUUUCUUUUGCCAACACUUUAAAAAUGUGAUGGUAGGCUAUUUUAAAACGCUUUUAAGUAUCGAUAAAUAUUAAAAAAAAAAAAAAAACAUCCUUAACGUUAAUUUUAUCGUACUGAAUUAAGGUACACUCAUUUUUGUACAGCACUUGGUAUAAAUAGUCCAACUAUAACUUAUGCGUUGUGAGAAUUUUUCUUCUUUGAAUGUGAGCUAGAGUUUUGAUUUUGACUCUUCGAAGAUUUUAGCAUUUAUUAUUUGAUAGGAUAGUAUAUCUAACCCAUAAGAUGGUGAAUCCUAAUUAGUGCGCGUUUGAUCCUACUAUUUAUGUAGUGUAGUAUCAUUAGAUGAAGUGUCUUAUGUGCAAUAGUACUUCUUAAAGGAGUUUUAUAUUAAAACUCACUCAACAUAAUCAAAGCAUACAGUAAAAUAUUUUUUUGAAACAAGAUAACAUACUAUUCGAUUCAUAUAUUUUUUAAUAAUAAACUUAUCUAAAAAUAUAAAGUAACUAGAUUUUUUUUUUUUUUUUUGGCUAUUUGUAAGAUAUUAUUGAAGGUGAAGGGAAGCAUAAGCAAAAGAAGAACCAACGUAAGAACUGAAUUAUAAUUAGGGUAAACUUCAAAUACCACCCAUAUGAUUUCGUACUUUCUCAUUUUAGUAUUCUGUUGUUUAAAGUAUAUAUCAAGUUAGUGUCCUGUGAUUUUAUUUUAUCUUUUCGUCAGCUUUUUUCUUAAUAUUUCGUUAAAUUAUAUACAAAAAAAAACUUCAAAUAUCCCAUCUAGAUUUAUCGAAUAUUUAUUUUAGUACCCUUUAGUUUUAAUUUUUUCACUGAUUUAACGAAAAAAAUUAAUGGAAUCGGUAAUAAAAAGAUAAAAAUAAAAUCACAGAAUACUAAAUUAAUUUACUUUAAACUAUAGAGUACUAAAGUGAGAAAGUAUAAAAUCACAGGGGUGGCAUGUAAUUGAAGUUUUUUCUUAUAAUUACAAAGUACGUGGCUAAUUAGAUAGAUACCUGGCAAUUAAUGCCUCGGGGAACAUGUGUGGAGCAGUUUCCUUUCAGCAUGACAGCAGAGAAAUUGCUUGGAGCAUUCUAGUUUCGGACGCCAAAGAUUUCUGCUUCUGUUGGUAAAACGACAACUGAAAUUAUUACCCUCUGCAACGUCGUCAAUGAAUUACAUCAAUUCCCGAAUCGUCUUGUUGUACGUCAUUAUAAUGCAAUAGUCAUAUACUGUUAUAUGAGUCCGGCUACUAUACUCUUAUGAGUACGAUCGUCCUCGUACUUAUAAGCUGAUUUUGAUGAUAGAACUUUCGAAUCGACGAUCCAUACCGUUAAACAUUAUCUAGAGCAUUUAAAACUUCUAGAAAUUAAAUUUUAUAAUUUUUCGACAUUAUUUGCCUUACGAUCAAAAGGUCACAAAAUUGUCAAUUUUUAACGGCCGGUAUGAGAUACUUGUUAGUUUAACGGUGAAAAAGAAUCAAAAUAUGUUGAAUUUUUUAUAGAAAAUUCUAUUCACUAUCUAAAUAAAUAUCAAUUACUCUGAUCUUAAAUUUAAGAAUCCAAUUAUCUAUUUUUAGGAUGUCAUUCGAUUUUAACUGUUCAUUUUAUACUCACUUGAUGGACUUUAUAAUGAUUUCAAAAAUUUAUGAAAUUUAUUUUCUAGAAGUUUCAAAUACUCUAGAUCAUGUUUAACGGUGUAGAUCGUCGAUUCGAAAACUCCAAUAUUGAAAACAACUUAUGAGUAGUAAGGGUUCUAUACUCAUAAGAGUUUAGUAGCCCUACUCCUGUUACAUAUAUAUUUUGUUUGAGCGGAUCGAGUUAAUAAAAUGUGCCGUGUAGUUGGGGGUAAAUUAUUUAUCAGUUUUAUCACUUUUAACUAAGAUUAUGAGUGUUAUAAUAAAUGAAUCAAACUAACCCUUCAAUUAUACUUAAUCUAUGUCACUACAACAGAAAUAGAUUAUAGGGACACAUGUUUGUGACACUUUUGUGUAAGUGUUCCAUUUAUGUCAAAAUUUUAAAAAAAAUCUACUAAUGCCUAAAUAUAAAGCCCAAUCCAACCAAAAAUAAAAGAAUACUCUACUCAACCCAACCCACCCAACCCAUUCGGCCCGAUUAUAAACAAAAAGGAAAAAAAAAAAAGAAAAAUCGAUUACCAUAUCUCCUUCUCUCCUUACUCAAUUCACUGAAAUCCUAGCGAAGAGCCCUUCCCUCUCGUCUUCUUUUCCUACCGCAGCCAACGAGAUAGAAUUCCGGUGGUUGCUAAAUGUUUAAAUAAGCGUUGGUAAAUUAGCAGCACUUUUUUAGGUUAUAGUGACACUCUUUAACUGUCACUAUAUACCUAGCGACCCCACAUAUAGCAAUACUUUUUAAAAGUGUCGGUAAUUUAGCCAGCAGCACUUUUUUUGACCAAUACCGAUAUUUAAAAGUGUCGCUAUAGACCGUUUUUGUUGUAGCGUGUUAACAUAUCUUGUUUACUUGUAAUCAAACAGAAGAGAACAUAGGAUUUUCUUAAGAUUAGUUAUAGGUACUUGACCUAUAUAUUUUGGUAUUCGGCAAUUAAAAUUUGUUUUAGUACUAGAAAAAAGUCGACGGUAAUUUGUUGGAUUCGAUGAAAACUAAAAGGCUUUAUGGGAAUUAAUUCCACAUUAUUUUUCACCCCAAAUUGGAUGUUCUUUUUUCCAAAUAAUUGCAUCAAAACUAUGGUUUCAAGUGAUCGAUAGGACUAUUUGUCGAGAGAAUCAAUGAGGUACGGUGCACUACUUUUGUACAUUUCAUCGUAUCCUCAAUUCGUUAUUUACUAGUAAAAUUAUCGCUCGAGCAUAUAUAUCUGACCAUGUUACCAUACGAUAUUAAUUUCAUCCUUUCAUGUCAAAUUUUUUAGCAUUAUCUCUUAGUAUUAUUUCAUAGCUGAAAUCGAUCGCUAUAUUGUGACAAUCAAAUAGCAUUUAUUGAAAGUCAUGUCAGCGUAGACUUUGUUAUCCUUGGUGUUCAUCAAUCCUUUUCAUAUGAAUAUAUAAGAAUCAAGUUUUCUCCAUUCAUUUAAUUAGAUCACUCAAUCAUCAAAUAUCCUGUUUCUCCUUUUGCUUUUCUUUAAAUGAUUGAGAUUAAGUUAAUUAAUAAUGAAAAUAUUUCAGUGCUCUGCUAGUGCUAGAACUAACAGAUUGAGACUAUUUCAUGAAAGUUAUAAUUUAAAAAUUAUUACUAAUAAAACAGAUUCAUUGAAUCUAAUUAAUGCAAUACAUUAUAGGAGCCGAUAGCGAUAUUACUAAUUUUAAUAAUUUUUCAAUUUAAAAUAAGUUUUCUAUUACUGAUUUUUCUAUUUACCAAAUAAUUCAUUCAAUAGUAUUGCUAAUAUUUUUAGUUUGCUACAGUUAUAUAAAGCGCGAUUCAAACUCGUGUCUCAUAACGUCAUUCUCUUAUGAUUAUAAGAUUAGCAAUAGUAAAUUAUUAUUAUUUUUAUUAUUAUGAUGGAAAUGACAGAUGCCACAUGAGGUUAUGACAAAAGACACAACUACCCACUGUUAGCGAUGCAAACGAGGCAGAUCCGGGGGUCGGAGGGUUCUCCCACCUCCCGCUCCAUUUCUCGUCAGAAUAGGAUGGAUUCGGGACUGGUUAUUUUUUAUUUUAUUUUUUGGUUUCACUUACCGUCCUAUUCGGAGCGGGUUAGAGUGGGAGGAGAUUUUUGGUGGAUUUUUAUAUGAAUCGGGACGGAUUGAAGGAAUAAAAAAAAGGUCACCCGCUUCUUGUUCCAUUUAACUUGGCGGAUCGGAACAGAUUAUAUUUUUUUUAUAUUUUUUGUUCCCACCUACCAUCCCAUUCGGGCCGGAUCGGGUGGGAGCUUUCCCAACCCGGAUCCAUUUGCAUCCCUACCCACUGUAGCUAACGCAAGGUCCACCCCGUACACGUGUCGCCACGUGAAAUGAUGGCCCCGUGUUCUUUUAAAUCAGGUUGAUGAUGCAACAUGAGCCGUUGGAUCGUCGGGACGUCACGUGCACGUAACCGUCCAAGGCGCCAACAAACCCACGUGAACGCGUAAAGGCGCGAAGAGACCGAAUCCGACAACGCCGAACACGGGUUCGAACUCGAACCCGCGUCGCGCUCGGGUUUGGCCCCUCGUCCAAGUGCGCAUGUCGAUACGUGUAACCACAGUACGGCACUACAUAUUUACAUAUGGACACCAACGGGUCACUUUUUUUAAAAAAAAAAUUCAAAUAUCACUCGUACGAUUUCACAUUUUUUUUAUUUUAAUAUUCUAUAAUUUAAAAUAUAUCAAUUUAGUAUUCCAUAAUUUUUUUAUUAUUUUUUUUUACUAUUUUUAUUAAAUUAGUGGCAAAGUUAAAACUAAAAAAUAUUAAAGUGAAUAUUCGAUAAAUUUAGAUGGAUAUUCAAAAUUUUUUGUAUAUAAUUUAACGAAAUAAUAAGGAAGGAGCUGACGGAAAGAAAAAAAAUAAAACUAUAGGAUAAUAAAUUGACAUAUUUUAAACCACAGAAUACUAAAAUAAAAAAAUACGAAAUCACAGAGAUGGCAAUUGAAGUAUUUUUUUUUUUUACACCUCUUCGACAGGAUAUUAGCCGUUAGAUUUCUGGAUAAACUUUAAUUUGCUUAUCUGUGUAUUAGCCUACUUUCAUUUUAACACCUUGUACCGUAAAGUAAAUUUUUGGUCCAUAUCUUAGUUUCUUUUUGUAUAGAAAAAUACCUCAACUUAUAUUUUGUACUUUGCUAUUAACUCAAAUUAGUGUAAAAUUUAAAAAAAUGUUAAUUUCACCUGAAGAAUUUAAUAGGAAUAGAUUUGAUAUACUUAAAGUAGUAGAAUCAUAUAAAUUGAAUAAAAUUAUUCAAUAUUAGUAAAGUGGAGAUCUCGCGCUUUAUCUAAUUUUAUUUAUUUUUUAGCUUACGUACAAAUUAGAUAAACAUUGAGAUAUAGAAUAAUGUGAUGCGACAACUCAUUUUAAUCAAGCGUCGCAACCAAACUCACCAUUUAUUCAAAAAUUUUGAAUAUAUUUAAUGAGACAAUAACAAAGUACAGAAUGAUAAUUAACAUAAUGAUUUUAAUAUAAGAAAGUAAUUGUGACAUAAUUAAGUUAAAUUGUAAAGGGGCUUUUGUUAUUUAGCCAUAGCCAAACUUUUUUCAGUUACUCAACCACCAGAUUAAUCUAUUCCUGUUUAAAAUUACAAGUACAAUUAUAUAAUACCUAUGCUUAAUUUUAUGUAGAAGAAUUAAGGAGUGCUCUUUUCUUUUUUUUAGUUUCUAUAAUCUUUUUUUAACUAUUUUUUUUUAAAAAAAAAACCGUUAAAACAUUUGUUGCGAUAGUAUAAGUCAUAUNUUGACUCAAUUUUUCGCGAAUAUACAAGUUUAAUUUCUUGUUUUAUAUAUAUAUAUAUCACUGUAUGGAGUGUACGCUUAGCAUUUAUCUUAAUUUUUUUCAGUACAGAUGAAUUAAUAUAUCCCUUCCUAUAACAUAUUCUCUUUACAGCUUGAUAAAAAGACAAGCAUUACUAUAUAUAUAUAUAAAACAAGAAAUUAAACUUGUAUAUUCGCGAAAAAUUGAGUCAACAUAGCCGAGUUUCGACUCUUUCGAGCCCACUCACUGAGAUUUCGAAGUUGAAUAGGGAGUUCAAGUGUAUAAUGUUAGAUAGAAAUAAAUGCUACAAAUUCUAAAUGAUACGUGUAUAUAGACUUAAACAAAAUUUUAUUGAUUUAAAUAGCGUACAAGGUGCGAACCUCAUUAAUUAUUCAUUCUUAUUCGCUCUCAUAACAGCCCAUUAAGAAAUUGUUUGAUUACAUGCAGCUACGUACAACUGCUCUUCAAUUCUAAUUGCGCUCGUACAUCAAAAUUUGAUAAUUUGUUUGAUACAUAUAAAUUUAGCUGCUCGAGUUAGAACUGCACGAAGAGACUCAGUUCAAACAGUCAGUGGCGGAUCUAGCUUGCGAUGAUUGAGUUGGGUCAAUUGACCCCACUUAUUCCUCCCCCCCAAAAGUCCCCAUAUUUCUAAAAGUGGGAUAAAUUUUCUAAUUAACUUUAUUUUAUUAACUAAUUAAUCCUAUUUUAUUUUAAUAAAUAAGUAAAGACCAUCUUUAAUUUUCUCUUAUCAUGUGGCAUCAUUUUAAAUCUUAUAAAUUUAAAUCCCAAUUUAAAAAAUCACCUAUUAGAAUAUAAAAAAAUAUUUUACACUUCUUUCAAAAUAAUAGUGGUUCUGGUGAAAAAAAUAAUCCUAUGAUCUAAUUAUGAUACCAUCAUAUCUCAUUUUCAAAAUAUAAAAGUAAGUUGAAAACAAUUAUAAUUCAAAAUGAUACAUGUUUUUUUCUUACACAACAUUUAUUGGCAAUUAUAUUUAAUAAAUUUUUUUAUUUUUUUAUAUUUAUUUUUUAUUUUAUAUUUGACUCUUUUUAAAAAAAUUUAGAUCCGUCACUGUUAGUGAAUGGUAGCAUGCCCAAUUUACCAGCAGUUCAACUACAACGGUUGGAAAGAGUAACAUGAAAAAAAAAAAAAGUUAUCUUUCUAGAAACCCUUUAAAUAGAAAAUAUAUAUUUUUCCUACAUUAAAGAUAAUCUCAUCAUUCUAUACAUAAAAUGAUAAAAUUUUAUAAAUACAUCUCUCAAUUACAUAACACAAAUAAAUUACGAAAAAUACUACCAGUACACCCAAAAGGGUUGUAAAAUCUUAUAUCCUCGCAUCCUGUGGUUCACCCUUCCCUUUUGAUUUUUAGUAUUUAAAAAAAUUUGACCUUUUUGCAAAAUAAAUUAUAAUAGUUUUACUUUUUUCUAAAAAAGUGGGCUAUUGUUUUGCUUUUGCAUAUUUGGACCCAAAAAGUUGAAAAUUGGCCGAAAUACUUAUAUACCUUAAAAGCUCCGUCUCUCCUUCCUCUGCUCCCUCAUCGGCCAUUUCUCCACCACGGGAAAGAACCUCGAGUGCUGAUCACACCUCCACACUAACUCCUUCGUCGCGUCCGUAUUGUGAACAUCUCACGAGUGAGAGGAACACAAUGAUCUUGAGUAAUUCGUCAUUGUGGCUGGUUCACUACAACAGAAUUAGAUUAUAGGGACAUAUGUUUGGGACACUUUUGUAUAAGUGUUUCAUUUAUGCCGAAACUUAAAAAAAAAAAUCUUCUAAUGCCUAAAUAUAAAGCCCAAUCUAACCAAAAAUAAAAGAUUAUCUACUCAACUCACCCCACCCAGCCCAUUCGGUCCGAUUACAAAUAGAAAAGAAAAAAAAUAUAUCGAUUACUAUCUCCUCUUCUCCUCUUACUCAAUCCACUGAAAUACUAGACGAAGAGCCCUUCCCUCUCCUCCUCCUCCGCCACCGCAGCCAAUGAGGUAGAGUUCCGGCAAUUGCUAAAUGCUUAAAUAAGUGUUGGUAAAUUAGCAGCACUUUUCUUAGGUUAUAGCGACAUUCUUUAACUGUCACUAUAUACCUAGCGACCCCACAUAUAGCAACACUUUUUAAAAGUGUCGGUAAUUUAGCCAGCAACACUUUUUUUGACCUAUACUGACAUUUAAAAGUGUCGCUAUAGACUGUUUUUGUUGCAGUGCUUGGCGCUUCGCCAGAGAUGAAGAUGAAGGUGAUAGAGUAGGAGAGCGAUGAUCUCUAAU